This is a long non-coding RNA of Amblyraja radiata (thorny skate), 987 nucleotides long. RefSeq lists it as uncharacterized. The record is from RefSeq and is a predicted model, not a curated record. The transcript has 3 exons. NCBI's taxonomy places the organism in Eukaryota, Metazoa, Chordata, Chondrichthyes, Rajiformes, Rajidae.
UCAGUAAGCAGAAUCUCAAACUUUAUUUUUAAAUAAAGUGUUACCACAAGAGUGACUGACUGAGUGACCAUGAACAUGUUUAGCUCAGCUGGAUAUUCAACAGCUAACAAGAAAUGUUGUCAGGGAACCAAGUGAGAUUAUGUGAUAAAACAUUUCCACAUGGCCAGGGAUUCCAAGCAUCAGUUUCCACAUUGCAGACUAAGCUUUGCUACUAAAACUCUUACUGCAGCACCUUUUAAUCUAUGCAGAUUUUAAGUAGGGGGAAAUUGAGAGGCUUGUCACUGGGAGUUGUCCAGCACAGACACACACUAACCUUUAGCACACCAGGUUGUUUUCUUAGAGAGCUGAAUUUGCCAGGCUUAAAAUUAUCCUGGAGUACAAAAUCACCAUGUGCACUAUUUUGAGAAAACAAACCACACAAAUUAACAUUGAGAUGGUAUGCUACUUUAAUAAUUAAACAUGAUUUCAGACAUGAACACUCUCCACACCAAGGGUUUAGAACAUUAGUGCUCAGCCAAAAUUUGAAUUGCGACAUUUAAUCAAAAUGGCCAACAAAAUGAAGCGAUUGCAUUCUAUCUGCAGCACUGGUGGCUCUGUUCUAAACCACCAACCUUCACACAAAUAAGUCUACUUUUGGAAUAGUAAAGCUGCCACUUUUUUGUCAACUUCCAGCUUGAGAAUUCAAAUAAAUCAGAGGAUAUAGUUACAUCCGAAAUUGGAUUUGCACCAUGGAGCACAAAUUUAUUAACUGAGAAUGUAGAAGUGGAUAAAGCAUAAGUGUUGAAUUUAUUGGAUGCCUUUUAUGGGAAAAUGGCAAAAAGUAGCAGCUCCACCAAGUAGACAGCAGCAAAGAGUUCAGAUCAAUGAAAAUCAUCUGCAUCAACAGUGGCAUUGAUUCAAAAAUAUCAACAUACAUCUUACAACUUUUCACUUCCACAAUGAUUAACCUCUGCCUCAAAUACCUAGGCCCUAGAAAAUACUACCUUC